This 1126-nucleotide transfer RNA is filed under the name Mesorhizobium sp. N3I. RNAcentral's name for it is "partial contains 16S ribosomal RNA, 16S-23S ribosomal RNA intergenic spacer, and 23S ribosomal RNA". The stretch from base 253 to 326 matches the Rfam family "tRNA". Lineage: Bacteria; Pseudomonadati; Pseudomonadota; Alphaproteobacteria; Hyphomicrobiales; Phyllobacteriaceae. The record is from RNAcentral.
CUUGUUGAGCCUCUACCUUUCGGUUCUCUUGGAACAAGACGGAAGAGAGUCACUCUUACCGUCGCGCAUACCUAAAGCGGGUCUGCCGCCUUCGUUUCUCUUUCUUCAGCGAAUGACUUUGGAUUGCGCUCGCGCGCCGUACCGCAGCCUUUGGCUGCUGGCGCUCCGCGAGGGCGCGGCACGAGCCGCGACGGCCGGUCGGCCUUGCGAGGCUCUGCCUCGAUGCCGGCUACCAUCUGCGCUUGGGGCUUAGGGCUUGUAGCUCAGUUGGUUAGAGCGCGCGCUUGAUAAGCGUGAGGUCGGAGGUUCAAGUCCUCCCAGGCCCACCAGUUCAGUGCAGCCCGAAGGGCUGUCACGACGCAAUCCGCAAGGAUUGUCGAACUCCUCUACAAGGUAUCAGGGGCCGUAGCUCAGCUGGGAGAGCGCCUGCUUUGCAAGCAGGAUGUCGUCGGUUCGAUCCCGUCCGGCUCCACCAAUGCGCGAUCCGCAGGAUCGUCGUGAAUGCGCGAUCCGCAGGAUCGUCGUGAAUGCGCGAUCCGCAGGAUCGUCGUGAAUGCGCGAUCCGCAGGAUCGUCGCUUCAGCCACCGCGUUGCGUGUUGGCGAUAGCGCGAUCCGCAGGAUCGUCGCGGCGCGAUCGCAAGAUUGCUGCCUUGGUGUUGAGUAGAGGUGAGAAAAGUCAUUCGUAAAAAGAGUUUGCGCCGAGCUUCGUGCUUGGCGCCUGUUCUGUUUGACAUCGUAAAGAGAAGAUUUGUUCGAACUUCAUGACCCGCAAGGGCCGUGAUUUGUCGCAAGGGACGCUCAAUCCCUUGCAUAUGAUGGGUUUGCCUAACCGCACCCUCGAACCGAUCUCGAGAAGCUGGUCUUUUUGCGCCAAUGACAUCGAGCAAGAUCCCGCACAGGAUCUGGUUCGAGGCGACAAUCCCUUCGGGAUUGCGCUUAUGCGACGAUCUCUUCGAGAUCGCGCCUAUGCGACGAUCCUUCGGAUCGCGCUUAGCUAACCUCGCAAGGGUUUGGCUGAAGCGACGAUCCCUUCGGGAUCGCGCGGAUGGGUAUUGGCAAUGAGAACGAUCAAGUGUCUUAAGGGCAAUUGGUGGAUGCCUUGGCAUGCACAGGCGAUGAAGGACG